Molecule: transfer RNA, 71 nt
Filed under: Columbicola macrourae
Lineage: Eukaryota; Metazoa; Arthropoda; Insecta; Psocodea; Philopteridae
Description: tRNA-Ser
Source: RNAcentral
GAUUUUCUAGUCUAACUCAUAAGACUUUUACUUUGAAAGUAAACAAUUAGUAACAAAUUACUAGAAAAUCU